RNAcentral lists this ribosomal RNA (760 nucleotides) under uncultured bacterium. RNAcentral's name for it is "bacterial SSU rRNA". It matches the Rfam family "Bacterial small subunit ribosomal RNA", at positions 626 to 1386 of the family's 1533-position model. The record is from RNAcentral.
UUNUGAACUGGGUGACUAGAGUGUGUCAGAGGGAGGUAGAAUUNCACGUGUAGCAGUGAAAUGCGUAGAGAUGUGGAGGAAUACCGAUGGCGAAGGCAGCCUCCUGGGAUAACACUGACGUUCAUGCCCGAAAGCGUGGGUAGCAAACAGGAUUAGAUACCCNUGGUAGUCCACGCCCUAAACGAUGUCGAUUAGCUGUUGGGCAGCAUGACUGCUUAGUAGCGAAGCUAACGCGUGAAAUCGACCGCCUGGGGAGUACGGUCGCAAGAUUAAAACUCAAAGGAAUUGACGGGGACCCGCACAAGCGGUGGAUGAUGUGGAUUAAUUCGAUGCAACGCGAAGAACCUUACCUGGUCUUGACAUGUACGGAACCCUCCAGAGACGGAGGAGUGCCUUCGGGAGCCGUAACACAGGUGCUGCAUGGCUGUCGUCAGCUCGUGUCGUGAGAUGUUGGGUUAAGUCNNNCNACGAGCGCAACCCUUGUCAUUAGUUGCCAUCAUUAAGUUGGGCACUCUAAUGAGACUGCCGGUGACAAGCCGGAGGAAGGUGGGGAUGACGUCAAGUCCUCAUGGCCCUUAUGACCAGGGCUUCACACGUCAUACAAUGGUCGGUACAGAGGGUAGCCAAGCCGCGAGGCGGAGCCAAUCUCACAAAACCGAUCGUAGUCCGGAUUGCACUCUGCAACUCGAGUGCAUGAAGUCGGAAUCGCUAGUAAUCGCAGGUCAGCAUACUGCGGUGAAUACGUUCCCGGGUCUUGUNC